RNAcentral lists this ribosomal RNA (465 nucleotides) under Vreelandella stevensii. RNAcentral describes it as "partial 16S ribosomal RNA". It matches the Rfam family "Bacterial small subunit ribosomal RNA", at positions 338 to 795 of the family's 1533-position model. Lineage: Bacteria; Pseudomonadati; Pseudomonadota; Gammaproteobacteria; Oceanospirillales; Halomonadaceae. The record is from RNAcentral.
CCUACGGGUGGCUGCAGUGGGGAAUAUUGGACAAUGGGGGGAACCCUGACCCAGCCAUGCCGCGUGUGUGAAGAAGGCCCUCGGGUUGUAAAGCACUUUCAGUGAGGAAGAACGCCUGGUGGUUAAUACCCAUCAGGAAAGACAUCACUCACAGAAGAAGCACCGGCUAACUCCGUGCCAGCAGCCGCGGUAAUACGGAGGGUGCGAGCGUUAAUCGGAAUUACUGGGCGUAAAGCGCGCGUAGGUGGCUUGAUAAGCCGGUUGUGAAAGCCCCGGGCUCAACCUGGGAACGGCAUCCGGAACUGUCAAGCUAGAGUGCAGGAGAGGAAGGUAGAAUUCCCGGUGUAGCGGUGAAAUGCGUAGAGAUCGGGAGGAAUACCAGUGGCGAAGGCGGCCUUCUGGACUGACACUGACACUGAGGUGCGAAAGCGUGGGUAGCAAACAGGAUUAGAUACCCUUGUAGUC